UUGAAUGGCCUCAUGGCCUUCAUCACCCCUACCCUUGUGGAUCGAAGACGUGCCUUCGGCCCCAGCGGCCGACUUUUAUGCCGUAGAUUGUGUCCGACAUGAUCAUUAGAAUCA
RNAcentral lists this unclassified non-coding RNA (114 nucleotides) under uncultured fungus. Its description in RNAcentral is "sequence contains ITS1". Lineage: Eukaryota; Fungi. The record is from RNAcentral.